This 315-nucleotide unclassified non-coding RNA is filed under the name Tomentella galzinii. RNAcentral's name for it is "sequence contains 5.8S rRNA gene". Lineage: Eukaryota; Fungi; Basidiomycota; Agaricomycetes; Thelephorales; Thelephoraceae. The record is from RNAcentral.
GAACGCACCUUGCGCCCUUUGGCUAUUCUGAAGGGCAUGCCUGUUUGCGUAUCAUGAACACCUCAACUCUCAUGGUCCGCCAUGAUGAGCUUGGACUAUGGGGGUCUUGCCGGCCUAGCGUCGGCUCCUCUCAAAUGGAUCAGCUUCCCAGUGUUUGGUGGCGUCACAGGUGUGAUAACUAUCUACGCUUGUGGUUUUCCACCAUUAACCUUCAGCAAUGGAGGUUCGCUGGAGCUUACAGAUGUCUUUCCUUGGGGAGGACAGCUUCUUGAAUGUCUGAUCUCAAAUCAGGUAGGACUACCCGCUGAACUUAAG